RNAcentral lists this ribosomal RNA (253 nucleotides) under uncultured bacterium. RNAcentral's name for it is "partial 16S ribosomal RNA". It matches the Rfam family "Bacterial small subunit ribosomal RNA", at positions 524 to 776 of the family's 1533-position model. The record is from RNAcentral.
UACGUAGGUGGCAAGCGUUGUCCGGAUUUAUUGGGUUUAAAGGGUGCGUAGGCGGCCUUGUAAGUCAGUGCUGAAAUAUCCCGGCUUAACCGGGAGGGUGGCAUUGAUACUGCAGGGCUUGAGUAAAGUUGAGGUUGGCGGAAUUGACGGUGUAGCGGUGAAAUGCUUAGAUAUCGUCAAGAACACCGAUAGUGAAGACAGCUAACUAAGCUUUAACUGACGCUGAGGCACGAAAGCGUGGGGAGCGAACAGG